RNAcentral lists this ribosomal RNA (497 nucleotides) under uncultured bacterium. RNAcentral describes it as "partial 16S ribosomal RNA". It matches the Rfam family "Bacterial small subunit ribosomal RNA", at positions 28 to 507 of the family's 1533-position model. The record is from RNAcentral.
GAUGAACGCUGGCGGCGUGCCUAAUACAUGCAAGUCGAGCGGACGGACCAGAAUCUUGCUUCUCUGAUGUUAGCGGCGGACGGGUGAGUAACACGUGGAUAACCUACCUAUAAGACUGGGAUAACUUCGGGAAACCGGCGCUAAUACCGGAUGAUAUUUUGAACCGCAUGGUUCAAAAGUGAAAUACGGUCUUGCUGUCACUUAUAGAUGGAUCCGCGCUGCAUUAGCUAGUUGGUAAGGUAACGGCUUACCAAGGCAACGAUGCAUAGCCGACCUGAGAGGGUGGUCGACCAGAUUGGAACUGAGGCUGAGCCGAGACACCUGGGGGGAGCAGCAGUAGGGAAUCUUACGCAAUGGGGGAAAGCCUGAUAGAGCAACGCCGCGGGAGUGAUGAAGGUCUUCGGAUCGUAAAACUCUGUUAUUCGUGAGGAAGAUAUGUGUAAGUAACUGUGCACAUAUUGACGGUACCUAAUCAGAAAGCCACGGCUAACUACGUG